RNAcentral lists this small nuclear RNA (24 nucleotides) under Arabidopsis thaliana (thale cress). RNAcentral's name for it is "snRNA_11668". The record is from RNAcentral. Lineage: Eukaryota; Viridiplantae; Streptophyta; Magnoliopsida; Brassicales; Brassicaceae.
GGGUGACCUCCCGGGAAGUCCUCG